ACAACUUUCAACAACGGAUCUCUUGGCUCUCGCACCGAUGAAGAACGCAGCGAAAUGCGAUAAGUAAUGUGAAUU
This 75-nucleotide ribosomal RNA is filed under the name uncultured Sebacinales. RNAcentral's name for it is "partial 5.8S ribosomal RNA". It matches the Rfam family "5.8S ribosomal RNA", at positions 1 to 73 of the family's 154-position model. From Rfam's summary of the family: 5.8S ribosomal RNA (5.8S rRNA) is a component of the large subunit of the eukaryotic ribosome. It is transcribed by RNA polymerase I as part of the 45S precursor that also contains 18S and 28S rRNA. Lineage: Eukaryota; Fungi; Basidiomycota; Agaricomycetes; Sebacinales. The record is from RNAcentral.